GGAAGUUGUACUUCUCUGAAGUUGUCAGUGGUUGUUGGAAGCAAACACCUCUCUGGGUUCAGUAAGGAAGUAUGUCCAAGAUGUUAUCAUGUCCAGAUCCACAAACCAGUCUUGGAUUUGUCACACUGAGUGACAGAAUAAGGGGCUGCUUGUAUGAUCGAGGAAAUGCAGAUCUCAUCCUCUCUCUGUGUCAGCUUGGAAAAGCAUUUCUCAGGUGCAUUCAAACUGGGAGCAGUGUCCCAUCUGGAACUUCUCAGCAUAGAAUCACACAUGGGAUGGUCCAGGUUGGAAGGGACCUCAAAGAUCAUGAAUGUC
Molecule: long non-coding RNA, 315 nt
Organism: Lagopus leucura (white-tailed ptarmigan)
Lineage: Eukaryota; Metazoa; Chordata; Aves; Galliformes; Phasianidae
Exons: 3
Source: RefSeq, a predicted model, not a curated record